UAGGACUCUCGGCAAUGGAUAUCUGGGCUCUUGCAUCGAUGAAGAGCGCAGCGAAAUGCGAUACGUGGUGUGAAUUGCAGAAUCCCGUGAACCAUCGAGUUUUUGAACGCAAGUUGCGCCCGAGGCCAAUUGGCUAAGGGCACGUCCGCCUGGGCGUCAAGC
RNAcentral lists this ribosomal RNA (162 nucleotides) under Pterostylis longicurva. RNAcentral's name for it is "5.8S ribosomal RNA". It matches the Rfam family "5.8S ribosomal RNA". From Rfam's summary of the family: 5.8S ribosomal RNA (5.8S rRNA) is a component of the large subunit of the eukaryotic ribosome. Lineage: Eukaryota; Viridiplantae; Streptophyta; Magnoliopsida; Asparagales; Orchidaceae. The record is from RNAcentral.